UACGUAGGGGGCAAGCGUUAUCCAGAUUUACUGGGCGUAAAGCGCGUGUAGGCGGCUGGUUAGGUGUGAUGUGAAAUCUUCCGGCUCAACCGGAAAACUGCAUUGCAAACCGGCCUGGCUAGAGUGCAGGAGAGGGAUGUGGAAUUCCAGGUGUAGCGGUGAAAUGCGUAGAUAUCUGGAGGAACACCGGUGGCGAAGGCGGCAUCCUGGACCGACACUGACGCUGAUGAGCGAAAGCCAGGGGAGCAAACGGG
RNAcentral lists this ribosomal RNA (254 nucleotides) under uncultured bacterium. Its description in RNAcentral is "partial 16S ribosomal RNA". It matches the Rfam family "Bacterial small subunit ribosomal RNA", at positions 524 to 776 of the family's 1533-position model. The record is from RNAcentral.